GGAUUAGAUACCCUGGUAGUCCACGCCGUAAACGAUGUCAACUAGUCGUCGGGAGGGUCAGCCACUCGGUGACGCAGCUAACGCAUUAAGUUGACCGCCUGGGGAGUACGCCGGCAACGGUAAAACUCAAAGUAAUUGACGGGGGCCCGCACAAGCGGUGGAGCAUGUGGUUUAAUUCGAUGCAACGCGAAGAACCUUACCUGGCCUUGACAUCCUUGGAACUCAGCAGAGAUGCUUUGGUGCCUUCGGGAACCGAGUGACAGGUGCUGCAUGGCUGUCGUCAGCUCGUGUCG
Molecule: ribosomal RNA, 293 nt
Filed under: uncultured bacterium
Lineage: Bacteria
Description: partial 16S ribosomal RNA
Rfam family: Bacterial small subunit ribosomal RNA
Source: RNAcentral